RNAcentral lists this unclassified non-coding RNA (313 nucleotides) under uncultured Clonostachys. RNAcentral describes it as "partial contains 5.8S ribosomal RNA, internal transcribed spacer 2, and large subunit ribosomal RNA". The stretch from base 1 to 102 matches the Rfam family "5.8S ribosomal RNA", at positions 53 to 154 of the family's 154-position model. The record is from RNAcentral. Lineage: Eukaryota; Fungi; Ascomycota; Sordariomycetes; Hypocreales; Bionectriaceae.
AUGCGAAAAGUAAUGUGAAUUGCAGAAUUCAGUGAAUCAUCGAAUCUUUGAACGCACAUUGCGCCCGCCAGUAUUCUGGCGGGCAUGCUUGUCUGAGCGUCAUUUCAACCCUCAUGCCCCCCGGGGCGUGGUGUUGGGGAUCGGCCGAAGCCCGCAAGGGACGGGCCGUCCCCUAAAUAUAGUGGCGGACCCGCUGUGGCCUCCCCUGUGUAGUAGUGAUAUUCCACAUUGGAGCAGCAGCGAGACCCUGCCGUUAAACCCCCAACUUUCUAAGGUUGACCUCAGAUCAAGUAGGAAUACCCGCUGAACUUAA